UGGACCAGCGGCCCGCCGGGGACCUCAAACUCUUGUAUUCCAGCAUCUUCUGAAUACGCCGCAAGGCAAAACAAAUGAAUCAAAACUUUCAACAACGGAUCUCUUGGCUCUGGCAUCGAUGAAGAACGCAGCGAAAUGCGAUAAGUAAUGUGAAUUGCAGAAUCCAGUGAAUCAUCGAAUCUUUGAACGCACAUUGCGCCCGCCAGCAUUCUGGCGGGCAUGCCUGUUCGAGCGUCAUUUCAACCCUCGACCUCCCCUGGGGGAGGUCGGCGUUGGGGACCGGCAGCACACCGCCGGCCCUGAAAUGGAGUGGCGGCCCGUCCGCGGCGACCUCUGCGUAGUAAUACGGCUCGCACCGGAACCCCGACGCGGCCACGCCGUAAAACACCCAACUUCUGAACGUUGACCUCGAAGCAGGUAGGACUAUCGGCUGAACUUAAACCGGUGAGUAACCGACGGAAUCUCCCCCGCAGAGAGAUGCGCCCCGACGAGGGAAAGGAGGAGCUAUCCAUGGGUAAGCGUAGCGCCCGCCGCAGGGGGAAGCAACAGGGCCCGUCGGAAAAAA
RNAcentral lists this ribosomal RNA (565 nucleotides) under Beauveria bassiana. Its description in RNAcentral is "eukaryotic LSU rRNA". The stretch from base 84 to 237 matches the Rfam family "5.8S ribosomal RNA". The record is from RNAcentral. Lineage: Eukaryota; Fungi; Ascomycota; Sordariomycetes; Hypocreales; Cordycipitaceae.